AGUGAACGCUGGCGGUAGGCCUAACACAUGCAAGUCGAACGGCAGCACAGUAAGAGCUUGCUCUUACGGGUGGCGAGUGGCGGACGGGUGAGGAAUACAUCGGAAUCUACUUUUUCGUGGGGGAUAACGUAGGGAAACUUACGCUAAUACCGCAUACGACCUACGGGUGAAAGCAGGGGAUCUUCGGACCUUGCGCGAUUGAAUGAGCCGAUGUCGGAUUAGCUAGUUGGCGGGGUAAAGGCCCACCAAGGCGACGAUCCGUAGCUGGUCUGAGAGGAUGAUCAGCCACACUGGAACUGAGACACGGUCCAGACUCCUACGGGAGGCAGCAGUGGGGAACAUUGGACAAUGGGCGCAAGCCUGAUCCAGCCAUACCGCGUGGGUGAAGAAGGCCUUCGGGUUGUGAAGCCCUUUUGUUGGGAAAGAAAAGCAGCAGGUUAAUACCCCGCUGUUCUGACGGUACCCAAAGAAUAAGCACCGGCUAACUUCGUG
RNAcentral lists this ribosomal RNA (492 nucleotides) under uncultured bacterium. RNAcentral's name for it is "partial 16S ribosomal RNA". It matches the Rfam family "Bacterial small subunit ribosomal RNA", at positions 29 to 507 of the family's 1533-position model. The record is from RNAcentral.